AACCUUAUAUCACGGGGGCCGGCCUUGAAUUGCUUGCAGUUCUCCCCGCCCUGUCGGAACAUUACCCAUGAUUUUUGCGUACCCAUUGUUUCCUCGGCAGGCUUGCCUGCCAGUAGGACCUCUUUAAACCUUUUUGCAAUUGUAGUCAGCGUCAGAAAAACUUUAAUAGUUA
RNAcentral lists this unclassified non-coding RNA (172 nucleotides) under uncultured Pyrenochaeta. Its description in RNAcentral is "sequence contains ITS1". The record is from RNAcentral. Lineage: Eukaryota; Fungi; Ascomycota; Dothideomycetes; Pleosporales; Pleosporaceae.